UAUUUUUAGCACACGGAGGCGCCUCGCAAAGUCUAGCGCCAUUCCGAGUCCGGCGGACGAAGUUGGCCAGCCCCACCCCCCCAGGCUAUAGCCCACCCGUUUUUGUGGCCUUUUUCCGCUGGACGAACUUGGCGCCCCGGCUUUCGGGCGGUUAUUUUUGGGCGCGAUGGUGCCUGCGGCCUAUUUUUGGCACACGGAGGCGCCUCACAAAGUCUCGCGCCAUUCCGAGUCCGGCGGACGAAGUGGGCCAGCACCACCCCCCAAGGCUAUAGCCCGCCCGUUUUUGUGGGCUUUUUCCGCUGGACGAACUUGGCGCCCCGGCCUGCGGGCGGCUGUUUUUGGGCACGGCUGUUCCCGCGGCCUAUUUUUGGCACACAGAGGUGCCUCGCAAAGUCUCACUCCAUUCCGAGUGCGGCGGUCGAAGUUGGCCAGCGCCACCCCCCAAGGCUAUAGCCAACCCGUUUUUGUGGCCUUUUUCCGCUGGACAAACUUGGCGCCCCGGCUUUCGGGCGGUUAUUUUUGGGCGCGACUGUGCCCGCAGCCUAUUUUUGGCACACGGAGGCACCUCACAAAGUCUCGCGCCAUUCCGAGUCCGGCGGACGAAGUUGGCUAGCACCACCCCCAAAGGCUAUAGCCCGCCCGUUUUUGUGGGCUUUUUCCGCUGGACGAACUUGGCGACCCGGCCUUCGGGCGGUUAUUUUUUGGCGCGGCUGUUCCCGCGGCCUAUUUUUGGCACACGGAGAUGCCUCGCAAGGUCUCGCGCCAUUCCGAGUCCGGCGGACGAAGCUGGCCAGCCCCACCCCCCAAGGCUAUAGCCCACCCGUUUUUGUGGGCUUUUUCCGCUGGACGAACUUGGCGCCCCGGCCUUCGGGCGGUUAUUUUUAUGCGGGGCUGUGCCCGCGGCCUAUUUUAUGCACGCGGAGGCACCUCAUAAAGUGUCACGCCAUUCCGAGUCCGGCGGACGAAGUUGGCCCGCCCCACCCCCCAAGGCUAUAGCCCACCCGUUUUUGUGGCCUUUUUCCGCUGGACGAACUUGGCGCCCCGGCCUUCGGGCGGUUAUUUUUGGGCGCGGCUGUGCCCGCGGCCUAUUUUUGGCACACAGAGGCGCCUCGUAAAGUCUAGCGCCAUUCCGAGUCCGGCGGACGAAGUUGGCCAGCCCCACCCCCCAAGGCUAUAGCCCGCCUGUUUUUGUGGGCUUUUUCCGCUGGACGAACUUGGCGCCCCGGCCUUCGGGCAGUUAUUUUUGGGCACGGCUGUGCCCGCGGCCUAUUUUUGGCACCCGGAGGUGCCUCGCAAAGUCUCGCGCCCUUUCCAAUCCGGCGGACGAAUUGGCCCAGCCCCACCCCCCCAGGGUAUAGCCCACCCGUUUUUGUGGCCUUUUUCCGCUGGACGAACUUGGCGCCCCGACUUUCGGGCGGUUAUUUUUGGGCGCGACGGUGCCUGCGGCCUAUUUUUGGCACACGGAGGCGCCUCACAAAGUGUCGCGCCAUUCCGACUCCGGCGGACGAAAUUCGCCAGCACCACCCCCCAAGGCUAUAGCCCGCCCGUUUUUGUGGGCUUUUUCCGCUGGACGAACUUGGCGCCCCGGCUUUCGGGCGGUUAUUUUUGGGCGCGACUGUGUCCGCGGCCUAUUUUUAGUACACGGAGGUGCCUCGCAAAGUCUCGCGCCAUUCCGAGUCUGGCGGACGAAGUCGGCCGGCCCCACCCCCCCAGGCUAUAGCCCACCCUUUUUUGUGGCCUUUUUCCGCUGGACGAACUUGGCGCCCUGGCUUUCGGGCGGUUAUUUUUGGGCACGACGGUGCCUGUGGCCUAUUUUUGGCACACGGAGGCGCCUCACAAAGUCUCGCGCCAUUCCGAGUCUGGCGGACGAAGUUGGCCAGCACCACCCCCUAAGGCUAUAGCCCGCCCGUUUUUGUGGGCUUUUUCCGCUAGACGAACUUGAAGCCCCGGCCUGCGGGCGGUUGUUUUUGGGCACGGCUGUGCCCGCGGCCUAUUUUUGGCACACAGAGGUGCCUCGCAAAGUCUCGCUCCAUUCCGAGUCCGGCAGUCGAAGUUGGCCAGCCCCACCCCCCAAGGCUAUAGCCAACCCGUUUUUGUGGCCUUUUUCCGCUGGACAAACUUGGCGUCCCGGCCUUCGGGCGGUUAUUUUUUGGCGCGGCUGUGCCCGCGGCCUAUUUUUGGCACACGGAGAUGCCUCGCAAGGUCGCGCGCCAUUCCGAGUCCGGCGGACGAAGCUGGCCAGCCCCACCCCCCAAGGCUAUAGCCCACCCGUUUUUGUGGCCUUUUUCCGCUGGACGAACUUGGCGCCCCGGCCUUCGGGCGGUUAUUUUUGGGCACGGCUGUGUCCGCGGCCUAUUUUUGGCACACGGAGGCCGCUCAGAAAGUCUCGCGCCAUUGCGAGUCCGGCGGACGAAGGGGGCCAGCCCAACCCCCCAAGGCUAUAGCCCACCCGUUUUUGUGGCCUUUUUCCGCUGGACGAACUUGGCGCCCCGGCAUUCGGGUGGUUAUUUUUGUCCGCGUUUGUGCCCGCGGCCUAUUUUUGGCACACGGAGAAAGCUCGCAAAAUCUCGCGCCAUUCCGAGUCCGGCGGACGAAGAUGGCCAGGCCCACCCCCCAAGGCUAUAGCCUACUCGUUUUUGUGGCCUUUUUCCGCUGGACGAACUUGGCGCCCCGGCCUUCGGGCGGUUAUUCUUGGGCGCCGCUUUGCCCGCGGCCUGUUUUUGGCACACGGAGGCCCCUCGCAAAGUCUCGCAGCAUUCCGAGUCUGGCAGACGAAGUGGGCCAGCCCCACCCCCCAAGGCUAUAGCCCACCCGUUUUUGUGGCCUUUUUCCGCUGGACGAACUUGGCGCCCCGGCCUUCGCGGGCUUAUUUUUGGGCGCGUCUUUUCCCACGGCCAAUUUUUGGCACACAGAGGCCCCUCGCAAAGUCUCGCGGCAUUCCGAGUCCGGCGGACGAAGUUGGCCAGCCCCACCCCCCAAGGCUAUAGCCCACCCGUUUUUGUGGCCUUUUUCCGCUGGACGAACUCGGCGCCCCGGCCUUCGGGCAGUUAUUUUUGGGCACGGCUGUGCCC
This 3071-nucleotide long non-coding RNA is filed under the name Citrus x clementina. RNAcentral's name for it is "Citrus clementina (C. clementina) long non-coding RNA (CCLE_LNC005853)". Lineage: Eukaryota; Viridiplantae; Streptophyta; Magnoliopsida; Sapindales; Rutaceae. The record is from RNAcentral.